GACGAACGCUGGCGGCGUGCUUAACACAUGCAAGUCGAACGGAAAGGCCCUGCUUUUGUGGGGUGCUCGAGUGGCGAACGGGUGAGUAACACGUGAGUAACCUGCCCUUGACUUUGGGAUAACUUCAGGAAACUGGGGCUAAUACCGGAUAGGAGCUCCUGCUGCAUGGUGGGGGUUGGAAAGUUUCGGCGGUUGGGGAUGGACUCGCGGCUUAUCAGCUUGUUGGUGGGGUAGUGGCUUACCAAGGCUUUGACGGGUAGCCGGCCUGAGAGGGUGACCGGCCACAUUGGGACUGGGAUACGGCCCAGACGCCUACGGGAGGCAGCAGUGGGGAAUAUUGCACAAUGGGCGGAAGCCUGAAGCAGCAACGCCGCGUGCGGGAUGACGGCCUUCGGGUUGGAAACCGCUUGCGCCUGUGACGAAGCGUGAGUGACGGUAAUGGGGAAAGAAGCACCGGCUAACUACGU
This 467-nucleotide ribosomal RNA is filed under the name uncultured bacterium. Its description in RNAcentral is "partial 16S ribosomal RNA". It matches the Rfam family "Bacterial small subunit ribosomal RNA", at positions 28 to 506 of the family's 1533-position model. The record is from RNAcentral.